This 429-nucleotide ribosomal RNA is filed under the name Bacteroidota bacterium. RNAcentral describes it as "Bacteroidetes bacterium partial 16S ribosomal RNA". It matches the Rfam family "Bacterial small subunit ribosomal RNA", at positions 355 to 776 of the family's 1533-position model. Lineage: Bacteria; Pseudomonadati; Bacteroidota. The record is from RNAcentral.
UAGGGAAUCUUCCGCAAUGGACGCAAGUCUGACGGAGCAACGCCGCGUGAGUGAAGAAGGAUUUCGGUUCGUAAAACUCUGUUGUUAGAGAAGAACAGCGCAUAGAGUAACUGUUAUGCGUGUGACGGUAUCUAACCAGAAAGCCACGGCUAACUACGUGCCAGCAGCCGCGGUAAUACGUAGGUGGCAAGCGUUAUCCGGAAUUAUUGGGCGUAAAGCGCGCGUAGGCGGUUUUUUAAGUCUGAUGUGAAAGCCCACGGCUCAACCGUGGAGGGUCAUUGGAAACUGGAAAACUUGAGUGCAGAAGAGGAAAGUGGAAUUCCAUGUGUAGCGGUGAAAUGCGUAGAUAUAUGGAGGAACACCAGUGGCGAAGGCGACUCUCUGGUCUGUAACUGACGCUGAGGCUCGAAAGCGUGGGUAGCAAACAGG